RNAcentral lists this non-coding RNA (27 nucleotides) under Homo sapiens (human). The record is from RNAcentral. Lineage: Eukaryota; Metazoa; Chordata; Mammalia; Primates; Hominidae.
AGGUGGAAGUCCAAGUCAAACGCAGAA